GAGAAAACAGGAAGCAGUAAAGGAGCAACGAUUGUGGAGGAAUGGGACAAGUAUCUUUCAAUGUUCUGGCAACUUGUGCCGCCGAGUGAAGAAGACACGCCGGAAGCUAACUCCGACCACCUGGUGAAAACAACCACCGGGGAAGAAGAGCAAGUGUCAAACACAUUUGCAGUGUAGUAAACGCUUUCGUAAAUGAUUGCAGUUUCUUCUUUGUACACGUGAUGUCUCUCUUCGUUUGUGAGUUAUUACAUUACAACAGGUUCUCGGUUUGAUUUAGACUGGAUUCGGUUAUCUUUCGGUUUACUUCGUCCGGUUUAAUAAUGAAAGAAAAUCCAGCAUGUUUGUGCUUUCGAAUGCCAUAGGGAUAGUCUGGUAAGGCGGUGGUUUACUUAGCUGUCAGUGGUUCGAAUCAGUUUCUCUGUCACUCGUGAAUGAGAUAUUUUUUCUAGUAAUGCAUCAAAAACGUUGAACGUUGUAAGACGAAAUACCACAGUUUCUUACAACCGAUGCUUUUCUUUGUAUUAGAGGCAAUGUGGGUCACAACAACAAAGGUACUUGUGUGUCCGUUUGACAAAGAAACUCAAUUCAGAUUUGAUGUUUAUUCCCACUUGUCUCAGCUCUCACGUGGUUAACGAAACAGAGAUAUAUAGCUGACAUGUGUCAACGUGCGUGUCUUGACGACAAGUUUUAGUCGUCCCAUGAAUUUUUCCAAUCUUUGAAACAUCGUAAGUUCUUAAACACUUCGAAAGUUCUUUUUAAGCACCAACAAAAUUUGGAAUUGACACGUUCAUUGCAUCCUCACCGAAAGCAGUAGAUGUCAGAUUACUAAUUUUACCAAAACAAGAAAAAAAGAUUAAAAGAAAAGAAAUGGCAAAGAGAAUUUAAGUUCAGUGUAUUUUCGAGGGAAUUCAUUACGUCCUCUUCUCUCCUUAACGAUGCAUUGUAUUUUCCCUUUUCCGUUUCAAUUUGUUUUUUCUUUUCAUAUUUCUCUAUAAAUCUCGUGAAAUCUUUGCCGUUAAUUUUGACUGUGUGUGUCGAAACGAAUUAAACUCAGCUAUUUGUGAUAAUUAAAAAAUUAUCAAGAAAACGAGAACCUAUUCUUUUAUAUAACCACCACACAUAUUACAUAUCAAACUAUAACUUCUUGAUUGGAGAAUAACCGUUGUACAACGUUAACAUCAACAAACUUUGGUCGAGGAGUAUGGAUUGGGCCGGCCUUUGAGUCAAACCUGAACAAACCUUGAGUGUGGCUUUGAUUUAUAAACAAAAAAACAGCUUUUAAACUUAUAAGUUAUAACUAUAUUCCCAUCGUAUAUUGGCAACUAGGUGAUUUUCCCGUGCUCAUGCACGGGUAUAAAUAUUUCUAAAGUAAAUAUAUUAUAAUAAUUGAUUACUACUUACAUUUAAUAUUAAAUUAAUUUAUAAUUUAUAUGCAUCAUUUAUAUUAACAAUAUUAUAUUACUUUAAUUUUUAUAUAUGUUAUAUGUAAUCGUUUUUCUUGUUUUUCAGUCGAUUUAGUUAUCAUUUGGGUAAAUUAGAUUGCAUAUAUGAAUUCAACUGUAAUAUUUUUUAUUCUAUAUAUAUUAAAAUUUUGAUUAAUUUCUUAUUUACAUUUAGGUGGUUGUUAUCUUAGAUAUGUAAAUAUAUUUUAUGAAGAUUAUGUAUAACUUAAGAUAUAUUGUGCUUAGAAUGAUUUAAAAAAUAAACUAAAGUGUAUGAUUCCAAAUUACAUAAAUUAAUAUAACGAAACGAUAAUAUUUUGAAGUCUCAUUUAUAUAUAUAAAUUUUACAAAAGAACUAAAUUGUAACAGUUGGUUAAUAUUUUAUUUUCAUUUUUAAUAUUUUUUGAGUUGUCCAAUGAUUUAUAUUUAUAAAAUAAAUUACUAUUCUUAUAAAAUUAAUCGUAGUUAAAUCUAUGGUUUUAAAUAUAAGUUGGAUUAGUCGAAUCAUUCAUGUUGCGAGUAUAUUGAGUUACAUAUAUUCUUUCAAAUUAAAAAUGAAGUAUAAUUAUUUUUUAUUAUAAUUAAGUCGAAUGUGCAUGUAUUUUCAUAACAUUUAUCAAAUUAUAUGUUGAUGUUUUUUUAAAAAAUAUUAAAAAAUAUAGGAUUAUCAAUAUGAAGUUGCAUGCGUAAGUAGCUGAUACAUUUUUGAAAGCUCAUGUACACAUAUCAAUAUUUACAAUAAUUAAAUAAUUUUAAAAAUUCUAAAUAACUUUAUGUUUUUGAUUUAUUGAAUGAAAACUAAAAUUUAUUUGAAUAAUCUUAAAAAUGAGAAUUCAGAUUUGCUUUGAUAUUUUGAUUAUGAUUCUAUUAAGUUCCACAAAUACAAAAACAUAAAAUUUAAAAGCAUAUUUAAUAUUAAGAAAAAAUAACUUUAAUAAUGAUAAAAUAUAAUAUAUCUACCUCAUUAAACUAUUUUGUAACUAUUUGAUCAAACGAUGUUUAUUUUGUUUUUUAGUUUUUUAGUUUUUUUUUAAUAUCUCUUAAAAAUAAGUAGUAAAAAAUUGUGAUUGUAUUUAAAACUAAUAUUAUAUAAGUAAAAUAUAAUUUAUAGAUAUUUUUUGCUGUAAUUGAAAGAUAUUAUUGUCAACUAAAUUUAUUAAACUCUUAAAAUAAGCAGUAAAAAUUGUGAUUGUAUUUAAAAUAAUAUUAUAUAAGUAAAAUAUAUUUUAUCGAUAUUGUUUUGCUGUAAUUGAAAGAUAUUAUAGUCAACUAAAUUUAUGAAAAAUAAAUAAAACAUUUCAAUAUUACUAAUUAUAAAAUAUUUUUAGAUAAUUAAACAUAUAUUAGUUUAUGUUACUUAAUUAUUUUAUGUAAUCAUCUAAGAAAAUAUAUAGGUAUAUAAAAAUAUUUUUAUUAAUUUGAACUUUUGUACUGUUUAAAUUAUGUUUUAGAAGAAAUAAUAUUUCUGUUUCUAAUAUCAAGAUUAUAUGUGUAAAUGUUUUUUAAUGAAAUCAUUUUAUAUAGAAAUUUAUAAUUUUUAUCUUAGAAAAUAUAUAUAUAAAUAAAGUAUUUUAUUAGUUAAAAAUAAUAUUUUAUGUUAUUUAAAAAUAUUUUUUAAAUUUAAUAUUACUAUUUUGUUUACUUUCCUUUUUUUAUGAAAUCAUAUUAUAUAUACAUAUAUUUUCGUUUUUCAAUUCUUUUUUUUUAACUUUAUAAAAUAUUUCCUUUUUAUUUUAUGUGUAUAUUUUUCGAAACUUUUUAAAAAGGAAACUAAAUAAAAUAAUAAAUAAUAGUAUUUUAAAUGUAAGUUAAUUUAUUAAGGGUAUCAGUGUAAUCAACCAUCGUGAGAGUUAACGUGAGAGCGACACAUAGGAAACUGACUUAUUAUGUGAGCACGGGUAUAAAUAUUUCUAAAGUAAAUAUAUUAUAAUAAUUGAUUACUACUUACAUUUAAUAUUAAAUUAAUUUAUAAUUUAUAUGCAUCAUUUAUAUUAACAAUAUUAUAUUACUUUAAUUUUUAUAUAUGUUAUAUGUAAUCGUUUUUCUUGUUUUUCAGUCGAUUUAGUUAUCAUUUGGGUAAAUUAGAUUGCAUAUAUGAAUUCAACUGUAAUAUUUUUACUUGAUUACAGAGAGAGGAGCUGCGUGCACGUUUCCCUGGUCUACCUGGUGAUCUUGUCAAUUUCUUCUUGUAUAUUGCAGAGGAGGUAAUCUUUAAGAAUUAUCUCACUGAAAUAAAACUAUCACCAAUUUCUAAUGCCUAACAUUUCAUCUUAAUUUUGGUAGGUGAGGGGCAUAUUAUCUCAGUUGGGAUAUGAAAAAUUGGAUGAUAUAAUCGGGCGGACAGAUUUGCUGAAGCCUAGGGAUAUCUCGCUCGUGAAAACUCAUCUUGACCUCAGUUAUCUCUUAUCUGUAAGUAGUCCGGAACUAUGUUUACUGCUUUUGUGCUUACUCGCAAGUUGUAUCGUUGUGUAUAGCUAAUUUUUUCUUCAAAUUUGCAGUCCGUUGGGCUGCCAAAACGUAGCAGUACUUCCAUUAGGAAGCAGGAGGUUCACUCAAAUGGUCCUGUCCUUGAUGAUACUAUACUUCAGGAUCCGGAGGUAACUAGUAUUGUCUUACUUAUUGACUCAUUAACUGAAUGUUUCAUUAUGUAGCCUAACCCGUUUACAUUAGAAGAGCCUAAACUUGAAAGAAAGAUAUUUGUAUUUAUGGCAACGGAUGCAAGAAGACUUACUUCUUAAUUUUUGGUUGUUUUCCAGAUAAUGGAUGCCAUUGAGAAUGAACAAACGGUUCACAAAACCAUGAGUAUAUACAAUGUGGACCGUUCUGUUUGCGGUAGGAUUGCAGGAGUAAUUGCGAAGAAAUACGGAGACACUGGUUUUGCUGGACAACUGAACCUAACGUAAGCUACGAUACAGUUAACACAAAACAAACUUGAGUAUAUAUAAUGAAAACUAACUUACAUGAUCCACUAUGUACCCCUUAUAGGUUCAAUGGAAGUGCUGGCCAAUCUUUCGCUUGUUUUCUAAGUCCUGGAAUGAAUAUACGUCUUGUAGGUGAAGCCAACGACUAUGUCGGAAAGGUGUGUCUCAAAAUCAAUGGUUUCUUUCUACAGUAUUUUUCGAUUAAUGGUCUCUUAAUAUUACUCUUUUUACCUCAAGGGAAUGGCCGGAGGUGAAGUUGUGAUAUUACCAGUGGAGUCGACUGGUUUUCUUCCUGAAGACGCAACAAUUGUAGGAAACACUUGUCUGUAUGGUGCAACCGGUGGUUUACUAUUUGUAAGAGGCAAAGCAGGAGAGAGAUUCGCUGUUAGAAACUCUCUAGCUCAAGCUGUCGUUGAAGGCACUGGAGAUCACUGCUGUGAAUAUAUGACUGGUGGUUGUGUAGUUGUACUUGGGAAGUAAGUGAAAAACUCUCUUUUCUUCGACCACGAAACCAAAACCGAGAACUUAAAAGAGUGUCUUAACCACCAAAUGUUACUUCUCUGAAAUUGCAGAGUCGGUAGAAAUGUAGCUGCAGGUAUGACUGGUGGAUUGGCGUAUAUCCUUGACGAGGACAACACUCUCCUCCCUAAGGUUUUAACAUGACCAAGUCGUCUGAGUUAGUUAGUUAUCUCGAAAUAACAUUUGCUAAACACUGAAAUGAAACGCAUUGGAACAGGUGAACAAAGAGAUAGUGAAGAUCCAACGAGUGACUUCACAAGUGGGGCAAAUACAGCUUAAGAGCCUGAUCCAAGCUCAUGUGGUAAAGUCUCUUUCCUUUCUCUUCAUACCCCUACCCGGUCAAUCUUCCAACUGUUUACAUGUAAAAUCAUCUGAAUAUUCGGUUAUAUUUUCUGUUCUUGACAUAAAUAAACAGGAGAAAACAGGAAGCAGUAAAGGAGCAACGAUUGUGGAGGAAUGGGACAAGUAUCUUUCAAUGUUCUGGCAACUUGUGCCGCCGAGUGAAGAAGACACGCCGGAAGCUAACUCCGACCACCUGGUGAAAACAACCACCGGGGAAGAAGAGCAAGUGUCAAACACAUUUGCAGUGUAGUAAACGCUUUCGUAAAUGAUUGCAGUUUCUUCUUUGUACACGUGAUGUCUCUCUUCGUUUGUGAGUUAUUACAUUACAACAGGUUCUCGG
This 5564-nucleotide long non-coding RNA is filed under the name Brassica napus (rape). RNAcentral describes it as "long non-coding RNA (BNAP_LNC016635)". The record is from RNAcentral. Lineage: Eukaryota; Viridiplantae; Streptophyta; Magnoliopsida; Brassicales; Brassicaceae.